UACCUGCUGGCAGAAAUAUAGGUUAGUCCAUCCAUAUUUACUGUACUGCUAUUAAAGAAAAUAUUAAACAUAAAAAAUUCUUCCCUCAAUAUUGAACAUGCUCUAAUUAUAUUUAGAUGGCUUCAUUUAUUUCAGUUGACAGAGACAUCCUCCUCUUUUCUUGCUACUUUGGUUUUGCAAACGUGUUAAGUAGCCAUAUAAAACAAGAAAACCUCAAAUGGGAGUAAGGUCACUUGUCAUAUAGACAAGACUGAAACAAAUUAAUUGUAGAUUGUCCAUUAGUGGCAAGAACAGUAAUGAAGGUCACAUCUGAAUUACAGCGAGCAGCAAGCAAUGGCAGAGUACACAGUACACUUGCAAAAGGUAAGGCUAUGGAAAUGAAAGUUUUGAGGAUGAGGAAAUGAUAAGAUUAGAGAAGAAAGAGAGGUCUAAAAAGCAUAUGAUUCCCAGUACAUAUAAAAAGAAAAUCUCCAUUCUUUGCCGAUUCUUUGAUAUGCAAAACUAGCAUAAGAUCAGCAUAAUAAUGGUAGGAUUCAAACACUAGCAAUUACUCCAAAAGAAUUGAAUAUCAAAGAAAACAGCAAACAAUUCAAACAUCCUUGUAUUUCUUGGUUUUUCUUGUAAAGAAUAUAGGGCAAUAAUGAAUUAAAUUGAUUUCUUUCAUAUUUGGGCACAACAAAAGUGAAAAAGGAAGGGAAAGCAUACGCUUUGGUGGAGGCAUAGAUGGCAUUUAAUGGGUACGAAGGGAUGGCUACAGAUGAUGCAGACCCAAUAUUAACGAUUGCACCUUUCUUCUUCUUCAACAUCACAGGAAUCACUGACCUAGUUACCCAAGUUGCUGCCUCUGCAUUCACCUUGAUAAUGCUUUCCAUCAGCUCCAAAUCAACCUCAUGAAAGAACCUGGAAUAAGGGUAGGCCAAUCCUGCAUUAUUUAUCACAACACCAAUAUCUAACCCUUCAAUACACUCCUCUAUUGCCCUUGAUAUCUCCUCUCCAUUAGACCUUGCAAGAUCUAUGACGCUUGUUUUUAUCUGCAGUUGAUCAUUAUUCUUGCCAUUUCUUGCUCGUAUUUCUUUAGCUGUAGCUUCAAGUUUCGAAGGGUUUCGACCCACCAGAACUAGAUUCAGACCCUUUGAUGCGAGCUCGAAUGCAAGAGCCUUGCCAAUUCCAUCAGUGGAACCAGUGACUACUGCCCAUGAACCAUAGGAUUCCUUCAAAUUCUUUGGUGGCCUCAAGAACAUGACCCAUACCCACCUGCAAAAUCUCACAAUAUUUUUGCAGAGAGAAACGAAACCUAGGUAACUGAAGGUUAUUACGAUGAUAUCUAGCAAAUCCAUUGCCGUGAAAUUUUCUGCAGCUUGUCCGCAUAAAACAGACAAAGGUAUAUAGUACUGGAUGCGUUAAUGAAACGUACGUACUGUAAUCAAUGGCAGAUCUAGGGGCAAUGGGAA
This 1451-nucleotide unclassified non-coding RNA is filed under the name Hevea brasiliensis (rubber tree). Lineage: Eukaryota; Viridiplantae; Streptophyta; Magnoliopsida; Malpighiales; Euphorbiaceae. The record is from RNAcentral.